Molecule: ribosomal RNA, 460 nt
Filed under: uncultured bacterium
Lineage: Bacteria
Description: partial 16S ribosomal RNA
Rfam family: Bacterial small subunit ribosomal RNA
Source: RNAcentral
CCUACGGGAGGCAGCAGUGAGGAAUAUUGGUCAAUGGACGAGAGUCUGAACCAGCCAAGUCGCGUGAAGGAUGACUGCCCUAUGGGUUGUAAACUUCUUUUAUAUGGGAAUAAAAUGUUCCACGUGUGGGAUUUUGUAUGUACCAUAUGAAUAAGGAUCGGCUAACUCCGUGCCAGCAGCCGCGGUAAUACGGAGGAUCCGAGCGUUAUCCGGAUUUAUUGGGUUUAAAGGGUGCGUAGGGGGAUUGUUAAGUCAGUUGUGAAAGUUUGCGGCUCAACCGUAAAAUUGCAGUUGAAACUGGCAGUCUUGAGUACAGUAGAGGUAGGCGGAAUUCGUGGUGUAGCGGUGAAAUGCUUAGAUAUCACGAAGAACUCCGAUUGCGAAGGCAGCUCGCUGGACUGCAACUGACACUGAGGCUCGAAAGUGUGGGUAUCAAACAGGAUUAGAUACCCGGGUAGUC